This 460-nucleotide ribosomal RNA is filed under the name uncultured bacterium. RNAcentral describes it as "partial 16S ribosomal RNA". It matches the Rfam family "Bacterial small subunit ribosomal RNA", at positions 338 to 795 of the family's 1533-position model. The record is from RNAcentral.
CCUACGGGUGGCAGCAGUGAGGAAUAUUGGUCAAUGGGCGGGAGCCUGAACCAGCCAAGUCGCGUGAGGGAAGACGGUCCUACGGAUUGUAAACCUCUUUUGCCGGGGAGCAACGGGGUCCUUGCGAGGGCCCGAUGAGAGUACCCGGAGAAAAAGCAUCGGCUAACUCCGUGCCAGCAGCCGCGGUAAUACGGAGGAUGCGAGCGUUAUCCGGAUUUAUUGGGUUUAAAGGGUGCGUAGGCGGAUUUUUAAGUCAGCGGUAAAAUGUCCGGGCUCAACCCGGGCCGGCCGUUGAAACUGGGGAUCUUGAGUGGGCGAGAAGUAUGCGGAAUGCGUGGUGUAGCGGUGAAAUUCAUAGAUAUCACGCAGAACUCCGAUUGCGAAGGCAGCAUACCGGCGCCCGACUGACGCUGAGGCACGAAAGCGUGGGGAUCGAACAGGAUUAGAUACCCCAGUAGUC